Otolemur garnettii (small-eared galago) is the source of this 109-nucleotide non-coding RNA. The record is from Rfam. NCBI's taxonomy places the organism in Eukaryota, Metazoa, Chordata, Mammalia, Primates, Galagidae.
UUGCUUUGAGAGCACAUAUACUAAAAUUGGAGCGAUAUAGAGAAGACCAGCAUGGCCCCUGCAUGAGGAUGACAUGCAAUGAUAGCAAAAAAGAUGAUCUGAUGAUUUU